AGGCGACGACGGGUAGCCGGCCUGAGAGGGCGACCGGCCACACUGGGACUGAGACACGGCCCAGACUCCUACGGGAGGCAGCAGUGGGGAAUAUUGCACAAUGGGCGAAAGCCUGAUGCAGCGACGCCGCGUGAGGGAUGACGGCCUUCGGGUUGUAAACCUCUUUCAGCAGGGAAGAAGCGCAAGUGACGGUACCUGCAGAAGAAGCACCGGCUAACUACGUGCCAGCAGCCGCGGUAAUACGUAGGGUGCGAGCGUUGUCCGGAAUUAUUGGGCGUAAAGAGCUCGUAGGCGGCUUGUCACGUCGGGUGUGAAAGCCCGGGGCUUAACCCCGGGUCUGCAUUCGAUACGGGCAGGCUUGAGUGUGGUAGGGGAGAUCGGAAUUCCUGGUGUAGCGGUGAAAUGCGCAGAUAUCAGGAGGAACACCGGUGGCGAAGGCGGAUCUCUGGGCCAUUACUGACGCUGAGGAGCGAAAGCGUGGGGAGCGAACAGGAUUAGAUACCCUGGUAGU
RNAcentral lists this ribosomal RNA (511 nucleotides) under Streptacidiphilus sp. RNAcentral's name for it is "bacterial SSU rRNA". It matches the Rfam family "Bacterial small subunit ribosomal RNA", at positions 271 to 794 of the family's 1533-position model. The record is from RNAcentral. Lineage: Bacteria; Bacillati; Actinomycetota; Actinomycetes; Kitasatosporales; Streptomycetaceae.